Long non-coding RNA from Vombatus ursinus (common wombat), 921 nucleotides. RefSeq lists it as uncharacterized. The record is from RefSeq and is a predicted model, not a curated record. The transcript is spliced from 3 exons. NCBI's taxonomy places the organism in Eukaryota, Metazoa, Chordata, Mammalia, Diprotodontia, Vombatidae.
GUGGAUGAUCUUGGCUUCUUCGAUGUCUGACCAAGCUCUGAGUGCUCCAUGGUGUCUGCUUCAGCCGCUUUCAUAGACUUUGCAACAAAUUGUCCUUAUCCACCCAUUUCACCAGAAGAAGCCUUCACACACUUGGGUUAGACAGACCCCUAACACUUUGAUGGGUUUAUGGCCUAUCACUUACCCUCAACCUGGUUGAGUCCAUCUGCUGAGAUGGUUUACCAGGGUGUGACUGCUGCACAAGCUUCUUGGAGCCACAGAAACACUAGUGUUAAAUGGUCUAACAGGAAAGGUUGGCUCCCGAGGAAUAUCCCAGGCAACUAAGGGCAGGAAGUCACCAGCAUCUCAUGGUGAAAUUCUCUUGAGAACCUACAUUCUGUAAUCUUGGAUAUUCAAACAGAGCACUGUUAUAAACUUCUACAUCCUAAGAAGGGGCUGAUGUGUGUUGGACUGAUCUGAAGACAUUACAAAAUAGGCAUUUCUUACAUUCUGCUGACCCUAUUGGCAAUAACUCUGCUGGUAAUUUAUAGAAAGUAGAGAUAUUGUAUUAGAAGCUACUCCAAAAGGACAUAUCCGUGAUGCAGUCUCCUUGGGAUUAUUAAAGAAUUUCCAUUUGGGUUCAGCCAAAGGAGUGCUCUUACGGAAUUUCAUAUAUAAGGCAAUCCCACCAGAGAUUAUUUAAAGAAUACCACAGCCCCCACCAAACAGUUGUCGAGGCACUAAGCCCAGUUCUAUAAUAUAACAAUAAUAUAAUAUAAACAAAAGAGACUGUUGGUUCCAUUUAUGAAAUUUAUAACUAUGAACAGUGAGUGAUAAUUCUGGCUGGUGAGAAGUGCAUUUUUUGAUAAUCCUAUACAUUUAUCAUAUGUCUUAAUCUGAUGAGAAAUAGAAGAGGUCUAAAAAAAAAAAAACCUCUUGUUA